UCUGGUUGAUGCUGCCAGCGCGGGCUGCUAUUGGUGUUAGGUAAGGCAUGCAAGUCUAUCGUCCUUCGGGAUGAGGCGAAAAGCUGAGGAACACGUUGGUAAGCUGCCCUUGAGACGGGGAUAACCACGGGAAACUGUGACUAAUACCCGAUAGCUGAGGAUCCCUGGAAAUGGGCCAUCAGUUAAAUGCUACGGCGCUCAAGGAUGCACCUGCGUCCCAUUAGGUAGUUGGUGGUGUAACGGACCACUAAGCCAUUGAUGGGUAACGGCACUUAAAGGUGUGGCCGUCAGAUCGGGACUGAGACAACGCCCGGGCCUCCACGGAGUCCAGCAGUCAGGGAAAUUCCACAAUGCCGGAAACGGUGAUGGAGUAACGCCAAGUGAUAAGAUCACUCUUAUCUGUUGUAUAGUGUAAACAGCUAUAUGAGGAAGCAGAGGGCAAGGAUGGUGCCAGCAGCCGCGGUAAAACCAUCUCUGCGAGUGGACCGCUUUUAUUAGGCUUAAAGCGUGCGCAGCCGGACCAAGUAGUCUUCGGUGAAAGCCUGUCGCUCAACGAUAGGAAAUGCUGGAGAAACCAUUGGUCUUGGGACUGGGAGAGGUAGGCGGUACUGAUGGGGUAGCGGUGAAAUGCGUAGAUCCUGUCGGGACCACCUGUGGCGAAGGCGGCCUACUGGAACAGAUCCGACGGUCAGGCACGAAAGCGUGGGUAGCGAAGCGGAUUAGAUACCCGUGUAGUCCACGCCGUAAACGCUCUGCACCAAGUGUAGCCGUAUUUAGAUACGGCUGUGCUGUCGAGAAAUUCUUGAGUGCAGCGCCUGGGGAUUACGGUCGCAAGACUGAAACUUAAAGCAAUUGACGGGGCUCUACCGGAACGCGUGAGACUUGCGGUUUAAUUGGACUCAACGCCAGAAACCUUACCUGAGCCGUUUAUAGUAAUGAUUGUCAGCUUGAUGAGCUUACGUGAGCUAUAAAUAGGUGUUGCAUGGCCCAUUUUAGCUCGUGCCGUGAGGUGUUUGCUUAAGUGCAAAAACGUAGCGAGACCGGCGUCCUUAUUUGCCAGUGAUGCAUCCGUGUAGAUCGGGUACAAUAAGGAGAUCGCCACCGCUGAGGUGGAUGAAAGAGCCGUCCAGAUGAGGUCUGUAUGACCCGUACGCUCAGGGCCACACGCGAGUCGCAAUGGCCGGGACAAUGAGAUGCAACGUCGAAAGACGACGCCAACCUCUAAACCCGGUCUCAGUUAGGAUCGCGGACUGUAAGCGUCCGCGUGAAUAUGGAAUGCGUAGUAAGGACGUUUCAUUAUGACGUCCUGAAUUCUCCCCUGGAGCUUGCACACACCGCCCGUCGCUUGAUCCGAGAUGGGAGGGGAUGAGGCGUGGUUAUCACUGACCAUGACGAGUCUUCUCUCGUUGAGGCGCAAGAAGUCGUAACAAGGUGCCCGUAGCGGAAGCUGCGGGCGG
This 1457-nucleotide ribosomal RNA is filed under the name Candidatus Heimdallarchaeota archaeon. RNAcentral describes it as "bacterial SSU rRNA". It matches the Rfam family "Archaeal small subunit ribosomal RNA". The record is from RNAcentral. Lineage: Archaea; Promethearchaeati; Candidatus Heimdallarchaeota. RNAcentral also lists the same sequence under 3 other names.